This 433-nucleotide ribosomal RNA is filed under the name uncultured bacterium. RNAcentral describes it as "partial 16S ribosomal RNA". It matches the Rfam family "Bacterial small subunit ribosomal RNA", at positions 29 to 507 of the family's 1533-position model. The record is from RNAcentral.
AACGAACGCUGGCGGCAGGCCUAACACAUGCAAGUCGAGCGAGGACUUCGGUCCUAGCGGCGGACGGGUGAGUAACGCGUGGGAACGUGCCCUUUGCUUCGGAAUAGCCCUGGGAAACUGGGAGUAAUACCGGAUGAGCCCUUUGGGGGAAAGAUUUAUCGGCGAAGGAUCGGCCCGCGUUGGAUUAGGUAGUUGGUGGGGUAAUGGCCUACCAAGCCGACGAUCCAUAGCUGGUUUGAGAGGAUGAUCAGCCACACUGGGACUGAGACACGGCCCAGACUCCUACGGGAGGCAGCAGUGGGGAAUCUUAGACAAUGGGGGAAACCCUGAUGUAGCCAUGCCGCGUGAGCGAUGAAGGCCUUAGGGUUGUAAAGCUCUUUCAGCUGGGAAGAUAAUGACGGUACCAGCAGAAGAAGCCCCGGCUAACUCCGUG